GUUGAGUUUGAUCCUGGCUCUGGAUGAACGCUUGAGAUAUGCUUAAUACAUGCAAGUUUUGUGUAUUUUCAAUGCAUUAAGCGAACGGGUGAGUAUAAAGAAAAAGCUACCUUUUUUAAGAUUGCUAUUUUUAUUUAGAUUUAAAAGAGAUGCUUUUUCAUAAAGUUUAGAUAGGAGUAGUUCUUGUCAACGAUCUUUAGCUGGAUUGAAAGAUUGAUCAGCCACACUGGCACUGAGAAAAGGGCCAGACUUCUUUGAAGGCAGCAGUAGGGAAUACUGGACAAUGAGCGUAAGCUUGAUCCGACAAUAUCUCGUGGGUGAUUUGAAGGUUUACUGUAAAGCCCUUAUAUAAUGAGGAUAAUGACAGUAGUUAUAUAAAAAGCACCGGCUAACCUCGUGCCAGCAGCCGCGGUAAUACGGGGGGUGCGAGCGUUAUCCUAAUGAACUCGGCGUAAAGGGAGCGUAGGUUGUUUUAAGUAAUAGUUUAAGUAUCAUUUUAAUGUAUCCUUUUUCUAUAAAAAAAAACUUGAGUUAUUUAUGAGGGUUAUAGUAUUUUUUGAGGAGAGAUGAAAUACGACAAUACUUUAGAGAAUACCAACGGUGAAGACAGUAACCUAGAUAUAACUGACACUGAGGCUCGAAAGUGUAGGUAUCGACAGGGAUUAGAUACCCCUUUAGUCUACACCGUAAACUAUACAUACUUGUAUGAAAAUUAAGUACGUCGCUAAUGCUUUAGUAUGUCGCCUGAGGAGUACGAUCGCAAGGUUGAAACUUAAAGGAAUUGACGGGGAUCUACACAAGUGGUGGAGCAUGUGGUUUAAUUCGAUGAUCCGCGCAAAACCUUACCAAUAUUUGAAUAAUUAUUAAAAAUAACGAAACUUAUUUAUGUAUAAUUACAGGUGCUGCAUGGCUGCCGUCAGCUCGUGUUUUGAGAUGUCAAGUUUAUUCUUGAAACGAGCGUAACCUUUAAUUUUUGUUCUUCAUUUGUUAUCUCCACGGGGAGUAUAACUAUCUCAGGGUACAUUGGUUGCGGAGAAUAUGGGCAAUUUACUACACUUAAACUGAAAAUAAACAAAAAUGAUUUAAGCUUUCCUUAAAACGAGAGCUUAACGAAAUGAAGAUCACGCCAAGUCCUCAUGACCUCUAUAUAUUGGGCUACUUUCAUGUGCUACAAGGAUAUUUACAAAGGAAUUAUUUUAAAAGAUAUCAAAGUACGGAUUGUUUUCUGAAACUCGAAAACAUAAAGGAGGAAUCACUAGUAAUCGUAUAUCAGCAUGGUACGGUGAAUACGUGCCUGGGUCUUGUACAUACCGCCCGUCACGCUCAGAAAAAUGUAUUGAUUUGAAUUUAUAAUUAAUGUAUUAGUAUAUGUUUUACGUAUGAUAAUGAUAAAUAUGAGAUUUCUGUUGAUUUGAGCGAAGUCGUAACAAGGUGACUGUAGAGGAAUCUGUGGUUG
This 1456-nucleotide ribosomal RNA is filed under the name Proteobacteria bacterium JGI 0000113-L05. RNAcentral describes it as "bacterial SSU rRNA". It matches the Rfam family "Bacterial small subunit ribosomal RNA". The record is from RNAcentral. Lineage: Bacteria; Pseudomonadati; Pseudomonadota.